ACUUGACAGAAAAUUCUGGUCAGCAAAAGCGAAAGAAGAUUGGUGUAAUCCCUGGUUUAACUUCAAUUCAGGUUUUGGUGCCUACGUAGUUACAACACGUACAUGGCAGGCAGUCUGUAUUUUUGAAAAUUUCUUUAAGGCUGUAGCAUGGGGACGUGCACAGAGUUUGAGAAAGGGGGAGCCAUGAACCUCAAGACAAUUUUGCCCAAA
Molecule: long non-coding RNA, 210 nt
Organism: Ipomoea nil (Japanese morning glory)
Lineage: Eukaryota; Viridiplantae; Streptophyta; Magnoliopsida; Solanales; Convolvulaceae
Exons: 2
Source: RefSeq, a predicted model, not a curated record